RNAcentral lists this ribosomal RNA (401 nucleotides) under uncultured Choreotrichida. RNAcentral's name for it is "partial small subunit ribosomal RNA". It matches the Rfam family "Eukaryotic small subunit ribosomal RNA", at positions 30 to 432 of the family's 1831-position model. The record is from RNAcentral. Lineage: Eukaryota; Ciliophora; Spirotrichea.
GCUUGUCUCAAAGAUUAAGCCAUGCAUGUCUAAGUAUAAACGAUUUUAUACGUGAAACUGCGAAUGGCUCAUUAUAUCAGUUAUAGUUUAUUUGAUAAUCGAAUUUUACAUGGAUAACCGUGGUAAUUCUAGAGCUAAUACAUGCUGGUGUGCCUGACUUUUCGGAAGGGCGGUAUUUAUUAGAUAACGAACCAAUAUUCCUCUGGUCUAUUGUGGUGAAUCAUAAUAACUGAUCGAAUCGCAAAGCCUUUGGCUGCGAUAUGUCAUUCAAGUUUCUGCCCCAUCAGCUUUCGAUGGUAGUGUAUUGGACUACCAUGGCUUUUACGGGUAACGGAGAAUUAGGGUUCGAUUCCGGAGAGGGAGCCUGAGAAACGGCUACCACAUCUAAGGAAGGCAGCAGG